Herpailurus yagouaroundi (jaguarundi) is the source of this 351-nucleotide long non-coding RNA. RefSeq lists it as uncharacterized. NCBI's taxonomy places the organism in Eukaryota, Metazoa, Chordata, Mammalia, Carnivora, Felidae. The transcript has 3 exons. The record is from RefSeq and is a predicted model, not a curated record.
CUGGCGUUGAAAUGAAACGUUAAGAUGGUCAAAGCGGGUGGAUGGAUGUCAGGUGAGCAGACCCUUGAACACAAAGCAUCCUGGGGGACCUCGCGUAGCUAUUGGAAAAGUCAGAGACCCGCCAAGAGCUGUGAAAUCAGCCGCGACAGAAAAGAAAAUAAAAGCGGAGAUGUUGGUGCCAUUUCACCAAGGGCGCGGGCACUUCCGCACGUGUGUCUGGGCUCCCAGAUCAUCCUACGCUUCCCAUCAUCCCGUUCUGCUCAUGGCUCCUCAAGGCCAAGGCAGAAAGAGAAGAGGAAGCAAAGUCACGGGAGAGCGAGAGCCUGGCACGUGUUCCGAGGCACAGGAAGA